GAACGCUAGCUACAGGCUUAACACAUGCAAGUCGAGGGGCAGCAUGGAGUUGCUGCAAACUCUGAUGGCGACCGGCGCACGGGUGAGUAACGCGUAUCCAACCUUCCCUAUAGUAGAGGAUAGCCCGGCGAAAGUCGGAUUAAUACUCUAUGUUUCCGUUGCAGACAUCUAAGAUGGAACAAAGGCUUGCCGCUAUAGGAUGGGGAUGCGUCUGAUUAGGUAGUCGGCGGGGUAACGGCCCACCGAGCCAUCGAUCAGUAGGGGUUCUGAGAGGAAGGUCCCCCACAUUGGAACUGAGACACGGUCCAAACUCCUACGGGAGGCAGCAGUGAGGAAUAUUGGUCAAUGGGCGAGAGCCUGAACCAGCCAAGUAGCGUGCAGGAUGACGGCCCUAUGGGUUAGUAAACUGCUUUUAUGGCGGGGAUAAAGUUCACUACGUGUAGUGUUUUGUAGGUACCGCAUGAAUAAGGACCGGCUAAUUCCGUGCCAGCCGCAGC
RNAcentral lists this ribosomal RNA (497 nucleotides) under uncultured bacterium. RNAcentral's name for it is "bacterial SSU rRNA". It matches the Rfam family "Bacterial small subunit ribosomal RNA", at positions 31 to 518 of the family's 1533-position model. The record is from RNAcentral.